Molecule: ribosomal RNA, 431 nt
Filed under: uncultured bacterium
Lineage: Bacteria
Description: partial 16S ribosomal RNA
Rfam family: Bacterial small subunit ribosomal RNA
Source: RNAcentral
AACGAACGCUGGCGGCAGGCUUAACACAUGCAAGUCGAGCGCCCCGCACGGGGAGCGGCCGACGGGUGAGUAACGCGUGGGAACGUACCUUUUGGUUCGGAACAACUCCGGGAAACUGGAGCUAAUACCGGAUAAGCCCUAACGGGGAAAGAUUUAUCGCCGAAAGAUCGGCCCGCGUCUGAUUAGCUAGUUGGUGAGGUAACGGCUCCCCAAGGCGACGAUCAGUAGCUGGUCUGAGAGGAUGAUCAGCCACACUGGGACUGAGACACGGCCCAGACGCCUACGAGAGGCAGCAGUGGGGAAUAUAGGACAAGGGGCGCAAUGCUGAUCCAGCCAUGCCGCGUGAGUGAUGAAGGCCUUAGGGUUGUAAAGCUCUUUUGUCCGGGAAGAUAAUGACGGUACCGGAAGAAUAAGCCCCGGCUAACUUCGUG